This 490-nucleotide ribosomal RNA is filed under the name uncultured bacterium. RNAcentral's name for it is "bacterial SSU rRNA". It matches the Rfam family "Bacterial small subunit ribosomal RNA", at positions 29 to 494 of the family's 1533-position model. The record is from RNAcentral.
AACUAACGCUGGCGGCGUGCCUAACACAUGCAAGUCGAACGAGAAAGUUGGCUUCGGCCGAUGAGUAAAGUGGCGCACGGGUGAGUAACGCGUGGAUAAUCUGCCCUUUAGUUUGGAAUAACGUACCGAAAGGUGCGCUAAUACCGGAUAAUACUGAAUGACUACUGUCGUUUAGUCAAAGAAGGCUUCUGUUUACAUGCUUUUGCUGAAGGAUGAGUCCGCGUACCAUUAGCUAGUUGGUAGGGUAAUGGCCUACCAAGGCGACGAUGGUUAGCUGGUCUGAGAGGAUGAUCAGCCACACUGGAACUGAGACACGGUCCAGACUCCUACGGGAGGCAGCAGUGAGGAAUAUUGCGCAAUGGGGGCAACCCUGACGCAGCAACGCCGCGUGAGUGAGGAAGGUUUUCGGACCGUAAAGCUCUGUCGAGCGGGAAGAAAUGCAUGGUGGCUAAUAUCCAUCAUGCUUGACGGUACCGCUAAAGGAAGCACC